RNAcentral lists this ribosomal RNA (253 nucleotides) under uncultured bacterium. RNAcentral describes it as "partial 16S ribosomal RNA". It matches the Rfam family "Bacterial small subunit ribosomal RNA", at positions 524 to 776 of the family's 1533-position model. The record is from RNAcentral.
UACGGAGGGGGUUAGCGUUGUUCGGAAUUACUGGGCGUAAAGCGCACGUAGGCGGAUUAGAAAGUUAGAGGUGAAAUCCCGGGGCUCAACCCCGGAACUGCCUCCAAAACUGCUAGUCUAGAGUUCGAGAGAGGUGAGUGGAAUUCCGAGUGUAGAGGUGAAAUUCGUAGAUAUUCGGAGGAACACCAGUGGCGAAGGCGGCUCACUGGCUCGAUACUGACGCUGAUGCACGAAGGCGUGGGGAGCAAACAGG